Molecule: ribosomal RNA, 298 nt
Filed under: uncultured bacterium
Lineage: Bacteria
Description: partial 16S ribosomal RNA
Rfam family: Bacterial small subunit ribosomal RNA
Source: RNAcentral
CUAUGCGCCUUGCCAGCCCGCUCAGGUGUGCCAGCAGCCGCGGUAAUACGUAGGUGGCGAGCGUUAUCCGGAAUGAUUGGGCGUAAAGGGUGCGCAGGCGGUCCUGCAAGUCUGGAGUGAAACGCAUGAGCUCAACUCAUGCAUGGCUUUGGAAACUGGAGGACUGGAGAGCAGGAGAGGGCGGUGGAACUCCAUGUGUAGCGGUAAAAUGCGUAGAUAUAUGGAAGAACACCAGUGGCGAAGGCGGCCGCCUGGCCUGUUGCUGACGCUGAGGCUCGAAAGCGUGGGAGCAAACAGG